This 298-nucleotide long non-coding RNA is filed under the name Mytilus galloprovincialis (Mediterranean mussel). The record is from RNAcentral. Lineage: Eukaryota; Metazoa; Mollusca; Bivalvia; Mytilida; Mytilidae.
AAAGGUCAUUAGGGAGCUUCCAUUUGAUUUUUAUGGGGGGGCUAGGAUGAAAUUUGAAAAAAAUAGGCAGGACAGGAGUUUUGAGUAAAAAAAAAGGCAGGAUGAGGAAAUUGUUAAAAAAAAAAGGCAGGAUGACAAUUUGUGUAAAAAAAGUCAGGAUAAACUAGUAAAAAAAAAGGCAGGACCGAAUAGAGUAAAAAAUAAAAAGGCAGGACAUAGAUUACAACUAAAAAAGAAAGCAGGACAAAAUUUUUCAUCCUAGCCCCCCCAUAAAAAUCAAAUGGUAGCUCCCUUACUC